The sequence is a ribosomal RNA, 520 nucleotides long. It matches the Rfam family "Bacterial small subunit ribosomal RNA", at positions 577 to 1098 of the family's 1533-position model.
GGAUUUUUAAGUGAGGUGUGAAAGCCCUGGGCUUAACCUGGGAAUUGCAUUUCAGACUGGGAAUCUAGAGUACUUUAGGGAGGGGUAGAAUUCCACGUGUAGCGGUGAAAUGCGUAGAGAUGUGGAGGAAUACCGAAGGCGAAGGCAGCCCCUUGGGAAUGUACUGACGCUCAUGUGCGAAAGCGUGGGGAGCAAACAGGAUUAGAUACCCUGGUAGUCCACGCUGUAAACGCUGUCGAUUUGGGGGUUGGGGUUUAACUCUGACGCCCGUAGCUAACGUGAUAAAUCGACCGCCUGGGGAGUACGGCCGCAAGGUUAAAACUCAAAUGAAUUGACGGGGGCCCGCACAAGCGGUGGAGCAUGUGGUUUAAUUCGAUGCAACGCGAAGAACCUUACCUACUCUUGACAUCCAGAGAAUCCUGUAGAGAUACGGGAGUGCCUUCGGGAGCUUUGAGACAGGUGCUGCAUGGCUGUCGUCAGCUCGUGUUGUGAAAUGUUGGGUUAAGUCCCGCAACGAGCG